UGGGCAAGGCAGCCAGACAGGCAGUGA
Molecule: non-coding RNA, 27 nt
Filed under: Homo sapiens (human)
Lineage: Eukaryota; Metazoa; Chordata; Mammalia; Primates; Hominidae
Source: RNAcentral